Molecule: ribosomal RNA, 224 nt
Filed under: uncultured bacterium
Lineage: Bacteria
Description: partial 16S ribosomal RNA
Rfam family: Bacterial small subunit ribosomal RNA
Source: RNAcentral
CAGUUGGAAACGACUGCUAAUACCGCAUACGAUCUGACCUCGGCAUCGGGAUGGAUGAAAGGUGGCCUCUAUUUAUAAGCUAUCACUGAAGGAGGGGAUUGCGUCUGAUUAGCUAGUUGGAGGGGUAACGGGCCCACCAAGGCGAUGAUCAGUAGCCGGUCUGAGAGGAUGAACGGCCACAUUGGGACUGAGACACGGCCCAGACUCCUACGGGAGGCAGCAUG